This 136-nucleotide ribosomal RNA is filed under the name Aspergillus fumigatus. Its description in RNAcentral is "partial 28S ribosomal RNA". It matches the Rfam family "Eukaryotic large subunit ribosomal RNA", at positions 1 to 135 of the family's 3401-position model. The record is from RNAcentral. Lineage: Eukaryota; Fungi; Ascomycota; Eurotiomycetes; Eurotiales; Aspergillaceae.
UUGACCUCGGAUCAGGUAGGGAUACCCGCUGAACUUAAGCAUAUCAAUAAGCGGAGGAAAAGAAACCAACAGGGAUUGCCUCAGUAACGGCGAGUGAAGCGGCAAGAGCUCAAAUUUGAAAGCUGGCCCCUUCGGG